UUUAUUAUUAUUUUUAAAUAUGCAGUUUUGACCUGUGGGGAAAAUGGUUUCAGUACAUAUGUGCUAUGUGUGUGUACAAUAAAAGAUUUAGACUUCACUUUGACUCUAACAGUUAACUGCUGUAGUAGACUGUUUUCAGUUUUUUUUCUCUCUCUCAGUGUUAUAUGAAGAAGGAAUGAAGGAUGGACAGAGGUGUUAUUGAACCCUAACCAUUGCUCUGCAGAAUUCUGAAUUUUGAAUGAGAUGAUGAAUCGAUUUGCUCACACAUUCAAUGAAGACGGCUUUGCAUUAAGGAAGAUGGGGAAGUGAGAGACAAACUUUGUGGUUGUUCGUGGACAAAGUCUUUGAAAACUUGUUGUCAAUAGAGAUUUUAUUUGCAUUAACCUCUGCUGUUAAGAGGUUCGAUGAUGAGGAAUAGAUUUUUGCUACAUCCAGCUCAUCUCACACUGAGAUGGAGAGAUAAGUAAAAAAAAAAAAAAUUAGGAGUAAAACUAGUGGGGUAGAAAGUGAAUUAAGAAGAGGGAAAAAAUAAAAAGAGCAGGUUUGUGGAGCAGUCGCAGAAGACAGGGCUAUGAGUGGGAAAAUGGGGAGUUUACCACCUGCUGGUUUGGUUAUUCUUGGCAGUGUAUUUUCUCAUGAGAUGUUGGGGCACUUGUUCCUGCUGGGAUUGCCUUAUGGAGGGGUUACUGCUUGUGUUUUCUCAUGAGGUCUAGUGUGUUAUUGGUUUCCUCCACUCCAGCAUGCUGAGGUGAAUUACUAGUGUGACGACUUGGACAAAAGGACAAGAAGUGAAUUCUCUUCUCCUCACUUUUAUCAAGGUAAUUCAAGCCAAAGCAAGGCAGGAUUGUCAUUGAUUUUAAUUCAGCCAACUACCCCGGAUUGAAAACUUCCAGUGGUUUGGGGGUCGUACAGUCAUCAUAGACUGAGGAAUUUGGAGCAUGACAAUAAAUAUUCAUAAAACGCACUCAUUGUUUUUCUUGCUUAUGCACUUGUGAAGGUCUUUAUGGGUUUGACAGUGAUUACUUAAAUAGAUGUAGUUCACUGUUGUGCAGUUUUUGUUUUAAACCUUUGUUUCUUCAAAUUUUUAAACUUAUUGGAAUUAACUUUUGUCAGUCUUUUGAAUGUUUUUAAUGUUUUUCUUGGAUGUAUUUGCUCUAAUGCAUAACAUUCAAAAAAAUUAUCAGUUUACAUGCAAAAUAGCAGCCAGUUUGUGACCUUGGUUGAUGUGCCUUUUUUAAUUGAUUCUUUUAGAGUUUCCGUAUUUAUUAUGAGUGGGUUGACAAUGAGGACAUUAAAAUCAAGCUGGAUUCCAACAUUAACCAAA
Cyprinus carpio (common carp) is the source of this 1324-nucleotide long non-coding RNA. RefSeq lists it as uncharacterized. The record is from RefSeq and is a predicted model, not a curated record. The transcript is spliced from 2 exons. NCBI's taxonomy places the organism in Eukaryota, Metazoa, Chordata, Actinopteri, Cypriniformes, Cyprinidae.